AGAGGGUGCGAGCGUUAAUCGGAAUAACUGGGCGUAAAGGGCGCGUAGGCGGCGAGGUAAGUGAGAUGUGAAAUACAUGGGCUCAACCUAUGUUGUGCAUUUGAGACUGCCUGGCUAGAGUGCAGGAGAGGGAAGUGGAAUUUCCGGAGUAGCGGUGAAAUGCGUAGAUAUCGGAAGGAACAUCAGUAGCGAAGGCGACUUCCUGGCCUGUCACUGACGCUGAGGCGCGAAAGCGUGGGUAGCAAACAGGAUUAGAGACCCUGGUAGUCCCACGCCCGUAAACGAUGAGAACUAGCUGUUGGAGUCAUUAGAAGGCUUUGGUAGCGCAGCAAACGCGAUAAGUUCUCCGCCUGGGGAGUACGGCCGCAAGGCUA
This 374-nucleotide ribosomal RNA is filed under the name uncultured organism. Its description in RNAcentral is "partial 16S ribosomal RNA". It matches the Rfam family "Bacterial small subunit ribosomal RNA", at positions 527 to 896 of the family's 1533-position model. The record is from RNAcentral.